GAAAUGCGAUAAGUAAUGUGAAUUGCAGAAUUCAGUGAAUCAUCGAAUCUUUGAACGCACAUUGCGCCCGCCAGUAUUCUGGCGGGAAUGCCUGUCCGAGCGUCAUUUCAACCAUCAAGCCCCCGGGCUUGUGUUGGGGACCUGCGGCUGCCCGCAGGCCCUGAAAACCAGUGGCGGGCUCGCUGUCACACCGAGCGUAGUAGCAAUCACCUCGCUCAGGGCGUGCUGCGGGUUCCGGCCGUUAAACAGCCUUACAAAACCCAAGGUUGACCUCGGAUCAGGUAGGAAGACCCGCUGAACUUAAGC
This 306-nucleotide unclassified non-coding RNA is filed under the name plant metagenome. Its description in RNAcentral is "partial contains 5.8S ribosomal RNA, internal transcribed spacer 2, and large subunit ribosomal RNA". The stretch from base 1 to 105 matches the Rfam family "5.8S ribosomal RNA", at positions 50 to 154 of the family's 154-position model. The record is from RNAcentral.